Arabidopsis lyrata subsp. lyrata is the source of this 3786-nucleotide RNA transcript. It is a transcript of the gene named protein ENHANCED DISEASE RESISTANCE 4, with no coding region annotated. NCBI's taxonomy places the organism in Eukaryota, Viridiplantae, Streptophyta, Magnoliopsida, Brassicales, Brassicaceae. The transcript has 7 exons. The record is from RefSeq and is a predicted model, not a curated record.
GAGAUAAAGAAAGAUGAGUUUAUACUUUAUUAUACUAGUCUCUGUGCCGUGUGAAAAGGAGCGAAAUUUGCAGAAGAAACAAAGCAUAACCCCCCAGAGAAAGAUUUUCUCCCAACAAGACCAAACUUCGAACUCCACGAGAACUACCAUUAACCAAAACUAGAAAUAGAGACAGAGAUUACACAAAUUUCUUGCCUUUACUCCAUAGUUUUUCUCAGAUAGCAUUUUCCUCUGUCUUUGGCUCUUUGUGAACUUCUCCUUAUUCCGGUUUGGGUUUCCCGAGAAAAUCUAGCUAGAAAAAAGAAGGGAUCCAGUAGCAGAACCAGAAGCUAAACCCAAUCAAAGAGAAAGCUCUGAGCAAAAGACGUUUUCUGGGUUCGUUUAAUUGAAAAGAAAUGGCUGAUUCAACCAAAGUAAGGCUAGUUCGUUGCCCAAAAUGCGAGAAUCUCUUAUCAGAGCCUGAAGAUUCCCCCUUUUUCCAGUGUGGUGGCUGCUUCACCGUUCUUCGUGCCAAAAUCAAGGAGCGUGAAGCAGAUUCUGUUUCAGUCAAGUCCGUUGAAGAUAAAGCCAAACCAAUUUCAGCUAACUCUACUAGUUCCCCAGAGAAAGCAAUUGUGGAUUCUAGUGAAACUUCAUCUGACUCUGAUGUUCCAUCAAAUUCUGUUUCUUUGAGACACCACCAAAAUGUUGUUCCUGUUGAUGUUGAGAGUGAUCCUGGUUCAAAAGAACAAGGUAACAGAUCUAUAUUAGGGGAUAAAGAUGACCUUAAAUCUCAAUCGGGGAGACAAGACUCUGGUUUGGAUCGGUUUAGGAAAAGAACAACUACGAGAUGUGAUUCUGAAAGUGUCAUCAACAGAUUAUCCACUUCAAGGCAUCCUUGUGAUGAAGGCACUUCUUCUUCAGCUAACUACUUUCCAGAUUCACUCCAUGAGUUCCAGAAACAUUUGAAAGACCAGAGCAAUGAAGCAAUCGAGCAAGACCGAGCUGGACUUCUGAGACAGUUAGAAAAGAUCAAAGAACAGCUUGUUCAGUCUUGCAAUGUGGCGACUGACAAGUCUAAAGAACAGGUUCCUAGUUCUUCGUCUGCCUCGGGGUUGAACAAGGCGCCUCCAAUGCGGUUUCACAGUACGGGAAAUCACGCUGUUGGAGGUCCUUCUUAUUACCAUCAACAUCCUGAACCGCAGUUUCCUUACAACAACAACAACAAUGAAGUCCCUAUGCACCAUAGUCUGAUGCAUCCCUCUUAUGGAGACACUCAUAGGUUCCCUAUACACGGAAGAGGUCCUCAUCCGCUGCAACCAUCUCAUCCCUACUUCUCGGGACAAUAUGUUGGUAAUAAUAACAACGGUCAUGACCUCUUUGACGCAUACCCGCAGCAAAACGGGCAUUUUCAUCACUCAUCUUGCUCUUGUUACCAGUGUUAUGAUAAUAAAUACUGGCGAGGUCCAGCACCGGUGAUCCCUGAUGCACCCUAUAACGCCGGUUUUUAUCCUCAUGAGAGCGUUAUGGGUUUUGCUCCACCGCAUAAUCCAAGAACUUAUGGUUCUCGUGGUCUACAGCCUCAUGGCAGAUGGCCUAGUAACUUCAGUGAUGCUCAAAUGGACUCUCUUUCGCGGAUACGUCCUCCUAAAGUUGUAUUAUCAGGUGGAUCUCGUCAUAUCCGCCCUUUGGCAGGUGGUGCUCCGUUUAUAACCUGUCAAAACUGUUUUGAGCUUCUACAAUUGCCAAAGAAACCAGAGGCUGGUACAAAAAAACAGCAGAAAGUGCGAUGUGGAGCAUGCUCUUGUUUGAUAGAUUUAUCUGUUGUUAAUAACAAAUUCGUUCUCUCGACAAACACAGCUUCAACGAGACAAGGAGAAGCCCGUGUAGCUGCUGAUUACACUUCUGAUGACUAUGAUCUUCUUGGUUAUGUGUUUCAUUCGUUGGAUGAUGAACCAAGAGAUCUUCCGGGAUUGAUUUCAGACAAGUCUCAAGAUAUGCAACACGUUCAUUCUCAUUUCGCCAGCCUUUCCAAGGGCGAGCUAAGCUCAGACAGUCUAACAGCUAAGCCACUAGCUCAAGCUCAAGAUUCGCCUCUUCAAGAUAACUUUGUUGAUUACUCUUCGAUCAAUCACGACCGGUCUGGAGCAGGCAGCCGUAGCUCUCGUUCAGAACACGACAAGGUCACACUGAGCAAGACGACAGCUAUGAGACAGAACUCCUCCAUAAAAGAGGUUUCACUUGCAAGUGAGAUGGAAGUUAACUUCAACGACUACUCUCAUCGUAACAGUGGAGUAUCUAAAGAUCAGCAGCAAAGAGCCAAGAAGAGCGGAUUCGCAAGCAUUGUGAAGAAAAGCUUCAAGGAUCUGACAAAAUCUAUUCAGAAUGAUGAAGGGAACAAAAGCAAGGUUUCGAUAAAUGGACAUCCUUUAACAGAACGUCUGCUGAGAAAAGCAGAGAAGCAAGCCGGAGUCAUUCAGCCAGGAAACUACUGGUAUGAUUACAGAGCUGGAUUCUGGGGAGUAAUGGGAGGUCCAGGUCUUGGAAUAUUACCGAAUUAGGGUUUUGUAUAAAUUAAGGCUGAGCGUGGACAAAAUAAAGAAGACUUCCAACAGCCAUGUCUCUGCUUCUCAGCCGCCUCCUGAAAACACCUGCACUCGUCAGAAACCUCACCGCUCGUUCUUUCUCAACUUCCUUUUCGAAAAAGGUUUCCAGAACUAUGAUUAAUGGGGAUGUCGGAUAUAUCGAGUUUUUUAAAUAUCCUCAUGAUGAGUUGAUGGAGGAUCCAGGAACGAUAGGAUCAUCCCAAGGAGCAGUUGCUACAUUGAAGGAAGGAAUAGUGUGCCUCCAAGAGCAUCCAAAACCAAAUGUGCCAGAUGCAGAUCGAAAACGCCUCUCACUGCCUCCCCUUGUAACACUACCUCAUUGCCAAACCCAAAUUGUAACCAAUGUAGCCCUGUCGUCAUUUUUCCCCGAGGAGGAAGACUUUGUUGUGGCUAUCAAGUUCUUGGGACCUCAACUAAGCUUAUGUAGGCCUGCUCGAAGCUCAAAGUGGACCAACAUAAGAAUCACAGACCCGGGUUUCUUCAAUUCCCGUGUCAUGUAUUCCAAGAAAGAUGACAUGUUCUCCAUGCCUGUUUCUGGAGGCUCCUACAUUAGAUCAUGGAAUCUUGGAGAAGAGUCAAAAGACAUUCACAAACACAAGGUGAAGCAGUUGCGGUUUCUACAGUUUCCGGAGCUGGAGCAAUCAGCGUGGGAUCUCUUGAAUUCGUGUUGCACGAGCGAACACUUGGCGGAAUCUGAAGACACCGGUAAAACUUUUUUGGUUAAGUGGUACACGAAGAGCAACUUCCGUAGAAAGGAAACGCAGCGUUUCAUCGUAUUCAAAAUAGACGAGAAAGGAGACGCGGAGUACACUAGUAACAUUGGAGAUCUCACCAUCGCUCUCCACUCCAAGGCUUCAGCUAUAUGUGUCACGGCUAGCUGGCGUAAUCGAACUCCAAACAUCAUCUUAUUCAAGGGUCUCCAUGACUCCGGAACAGCCCACCUCUACGAUUGAGUGUUUAUUUUAAAGAUUUUUUAUAUGCUCUUUAUACCAAUCGCCUUUGCUUCACUUUUCAAUUACUUAUUGUUGGGUUUUACUAAGUUAUGUUUUUUUUUCUUUCUUUAAGAUUGAUGUGUUUGGACCUGGGAAUUUUGAAUUGAUAGGUUUUCUACGUUUUCUUGUUUACUAUGUGGUUGUUUUUGGUUCUUCUGAUAAAUUAACAGACUGGUGUUUUUAUGGUUUGAUGAUAAUUGCUUUUGAUU